RNAcentral lists this long non-coding RNA (6262 nucleotides) under Lactuca sativa (garden lettuce). RNAcentral describes it as "long non-coding RNA (LSAT_LNC008932)". The record is from RNAcentral. Lineage: Eukaryota; Viridiplantae; Streptophyta; Magnoliopsida; Asterales; Asteraceae.
AAAGUUUACAUUUGGUUCAAAAGUAAAUUGUACAAAACGUUAUACAUAUAUCAUAUGAACAAAACGAGACGAGUCUUCCACGGACUCCGUCUUCACCAAAAGAGAUCAUCGGGUACCUGUCUAAUUUGGACCUGAGAAUACAAGCAGUUUGAAAAUCAGCAUAAAGCUGGUGAGUUCAUAAGCGGUUUUGUUUUAUGAAAAUGUAUCGGUUUCCUUUAGUUUUCCGAAAAGGUUUGUUAUCCAAGAAAAUCCCAUAUUUUCUUAUGUUUAACAGUUUAGUUAUCUGUCAUUACAGUUCAGUUACGCGUUAUGUGUUAACCCCAGGAAAAUCCCAUAUUUUCCUAAAUACAAGAUUGAUCGAAUAACACAGAAUAUAGUUUAAUACACAAAACUAUAUAUUGAAAAUCAUAGGAUUACUUUCCCGAAUUAGAUAUGAAAUACCAUAAUAUACUCGAACUGUAGAUAGAAAGUAGUUUGAAAACCUUGGGACUAACAUCCCGGACUAGUUACAAGAUAGUUUGAUAAAACCAUGGGAUCACUAUCCCGAACUAGAUAUAAGAUAGAUGGAUAAAGCCAUGGGAUUAUUAUCCCGUAUAAGAUAUAGGUUGAAAUUAUCGAACUAUCAUCCCGUACUAGAUGUAAGAUAUAUACAUACUGAAAACCAUGGGAAUAACUUCCCGCACUAGAUACAAGUUCAAUAUAUUGAAAACCAAUGGAAUAACUUCCCGCACUAGAUACAAGUUUGAUAUACUGAAAACCAUGGGACUACCAUCCCGGACUAGAUACGAAAUAGUUUGAUAAAACCAUGGGAUCACUAUCCCGAACUAGAUAUAGAUUCUAAAACCCAAGCUGUGAAUAAACUUUUAUUAAUACGUAUUGUGAGUCGGGUAACCAUGCUGAUACGACAACGAGACCUCCUUGACGUUUGUCAGACGUCGGACGAUAUCCAGAAUUUGUCACCCCAGGCGUGCCCGCCUAACUGUAGCUAGCAGUUAAGGUGUGGGAUUGUCAAUCCCGAAUAGAUCUAUUCACAAAUUCCUCGCUCUCCCUCCAGGAGACUCUGGUUACACUUCCGGGGAGGAUUUACUGAUCAUCCAUAAAGGGUAGUGACUAUCUCACAAACUAGUACUAUAUUAUUCAUAGGGUUCUCAUAUGAUACCAAACAUACAAAGAUUAUGAAACAUAAUACAGUGAAAAUAGAUACAUACAAUGAAACUAUCUGGCAAUACAUUCAAAUGAUACGGAGAUAAACUGAAUCGGACAUAGUUUAUCUAAUAAAUUUAUAUAGAUAUCAAUAUAUGAUAGAAGAAGAAUUACAGAACCCCAAAUUAUUCCCAUAAUAACUUGAUUAGUUUGGUUAUUUUCUUAACUAAAAUCCAUUUAGUUGUAAUUGAUAAAUCACUCCUUAUGCUCAGCACAAUACAUAAGGAGUAAAAGUAUUUAUAAUUUUCCAGAUAUUAUUUGAAACACAUCAAUGUUAUGUUUUCAAAACAAUUAUAGUUUGCUUGUAUUCCCCCCCUAAAAACAUUGAAAAACACAGAAAAGGCGUAGGGGUAUGAACUCACCGGACGAGAAAUGUGACGAUUUCGGAUGCUAAACGUUGGUCCUGGGCUUGCAAACGCACGAGGUUCCUAAGUAUAAUGUAAAGAUACACAUUUGUAUCUAGUUAAGACUUAGAUUGAUUAUUUUUUAGGGACAAACACUUUUAGUCGCGGAAAAACCUCAUUACAAGUGUUUGGAGGGACCCGGGUGGCGUUUAAGGACGUAAAUGGCACUAGGGACUUGGAACAUGAGUUUACUCCCCAUGAAUAACCUUAUACAAGAGUUUUUGGUCUAAACACCGAUUCCCCAUGAGUUUACGGUCGUAAACUCAUGGUGGGGUAGUUUAUGGUGCAAAAUGGCUUCAAACACUUAGGGAAUAAUUUCUAGGUUUGGUUUAAGGGCUUGGAAUAAUUUUUAAACACCAAAAUGACAUAUUUAAGGGAGUUUACGGCCUAGCAUAGGACUCAUGGCCGUAAACUCUUAUAAACCCAUGAAAAAUUGUGUUUUUGGAUUCCAAACAAAUCACAUGUGAUUGCUAAAAUUGUUCCAAGGCCUUACAUAAAUUUUUAGGCAUAAAAUGACAUGGUUUUAGGAUUUUACGGCCAUGUAGCACCUUCUAUGGCCGUAAACUCUCAAAUGAAGAGUUUUGAUGUUUAUAAAGUCCUUAAACUACUUUUGGUUGGUCCUAUGAUUUAUUCCAAGGCUUUUGGUGGUGUUGGAUGGCUUUCUAACACCUUGAAAUUGAUUUUACACCAUGUUUUAAGGAGUUUACGGCCCAAGAACAUGCCUUGGCCGUAAACUCACAAUAAUCCCUCAAAAAUUAUGUUUCAAGUGUCCCAAGGCUAAAACCAAAUAUUCUAAAAUUCAUAUCUAAGCCUUAUUAGUGUUUUGGAAGGGUUUAAGGUCAUAAAAACCCCCAUAUAUAUGAGUUUAUGGACCAAGCAUGUGCCUUGGCCAUAAACUCCUUCAAAUCCAUCAAAAUCCAUGUUAAAAAUGUUCUAAGUCCAUUCCAUGAAGUCAUUUAGCCAUAUCUAAAGUCUAGUUGUGGUUUGGAAGGGUUUUAGGGCUUAAAACCCCUUUAAAUAUGGGUCUACGGCCUAAGCAUCAUUCUGGGCCAUAAACUCAUAUACAAGGCCUUAAUUCAUGUUUAAAUCUCGAAUUUCAAGGUCCAAUAUGAUACACAAUGAGUUUAGGAAGGUACCUUAGAGAUUUGUGGCCUUAAAUUUGAGUUUUGGACCCUUGAACUUAGAUUUAGGAGAGAGGUUAGAGAGAGAGUAGAGAGAGGAAGAAAAAUCUUCAAAUGAAUGUUUAAACAUGUUUAUAUAGUUCCCAAAACUUGGACACGGUGGAAUUCUACCCGAUACCGGCUUUAAACGAGGCUUUAGGUCGCACCCGAUUAAAUUUCCGUCACCCAGCGGGGACGUUUCUAAAACUUAUGAAAUAAAUAUUUUUGGGCUAGUUUCAUGAGUUCCUAAAAGGUUUGGACACUCAUUGGAUUAUAAUAAACAUAUAAAUUUAUUUAUUUUAACCCAAAACGGAAACGAAACGAAUUGAUUAAUGACAAAUUUUACGGGUAGAACGGGUUUUUCGACAAUGGAAAACUUCGGGUUGUUACAUUAUCCCCCCGUUAGAGGGAAUUUCGUCCUGAAAUUCAAAGAAUAAGAUAUAGAUCAUGAAUUUGGAAUGAGACAUGAAUGGAUUUGUUGCCUCGGAUCUUCACUUUCUCAAGUGGAAUCAGGUCUCUACUGGGCGUUCUAGCGAAUUCUCAUUAUCGGGAUGUGUCUUUGUUUUGCACACUGACUCUCUCUCAAUCUAUCAUAUCAAUAGGUUUUCUCAUGGAAGUUCCAACCCUGGACGACUUCGGUUUUCUCCAAGGAAUCACUAGGGUUUUGUUGGGUAGAUGUUUCUAAGGAUUCGAGACGUGAUGGUCUAGAUAGAUGUUAUCAAGCUCUAAAGGCAUCCGAAAUCUGAAGAUUGCAGAAUCGAUUUCUACGAAGAUCUCGAAGGGUCUGAUGUGAGACAACUAGACGUUCGAAAGAAACUCCUGGAAAUCCUUCAGGAUAGACAUUUCGAGGAAAGAGCUGCUAACUUCCCGUUUCUUAAUAAUCCCAGAAAUGAGGGAUGCGUGAUAAUUCAUAUCGGGAAAAACUUGAGUUUUAAGACAUGGAAUGAUACGAAGGUUUGAUACCGAAGAUCACAAGAACCGGAUCGAGGAAAAGAUCUAGACGAGCGACCCUUUUGAAACCAAGGAUAACAACAUGAAUGAGACUCGGUCAUUUCAUGUUAAACAUAGCAUCAAAGUGUUUUCGUGAAAAGUUUCCCCCUUUUUAAAUCGAAUGGAACAGAAUAGUCCUCCGGACUGAGGAUUCAAUCUAUAGGUACGAAGUUAGUGUUCUCUAUCUCACUGGUUAGUCGUCUCGAUGAUACACAUUUCGAUUACAUAUGAAGGAUUUAGCUUAGAAAAUGUUCGAAUAGAUAGAUAAAAGGUUUCCUUUUUAGUACUAGAAUCGAGAAGAACUACAGGUAUAAGAAUUGUCAAAGAGAAGUAUACCUGCAGCGACAGAGGGAUCAGUAGUUGUAGCUACAUUAGGGCAAUUCCUUUUGAAGUGCCCUGCUUCACCACAAUUGUAGCAGGCUGGACUGAUUCCAGCUCCGGAUGAUUGGUUCGUUGAUUUGGCUGGUUUUUUGUAGGUUCGAGCAAGGUGGCCCUUAUUGCCACAGUUGUCGCAGAUCCUUUCGCAACAUGGACCAAGAAUGCAGUGGUGGUAGCUGCACUUACCACACCAAGGAAGGGUACCAGUGUAUCCACUGGCAGGAGUUUGGGCUGUGCAACCGAAAUCCGAAACAGCAACAGGGGCAAUAGCAGUAUGGACUGCUACUGUUUGCUGUUUCUUAGAAGACCCUUGCGUACUCUGGGCCUUCCGCUUGUUCCAAGGUUUCUUUUUGCUUCCCCCUCCACUGGUGAUUGGCUCGGGGGUGUUAGCUUCCUCAUCAGAGCUGUCUUCGUGAUCGAUCAAGAUUUUCACAAGACAUUUAGCACUGCCAUAUGUGUCUGGCUUCGCAGCCAAGACAUUUCCUUUUGUUGGCUGGGUCAACCCCUAGAUGAACCUCUCAAUCUUUUUACUCUCCUGGGUAACCAUUCCCGGACAUAGUAACGCCAGAUCAUCGAAUCUUGAAGUAUAAGCAACUAUGUCGGAACCCUUCAUCUUGAGGUUCCAAAGUUCGUGUUCUAGCUUCUGGAGUUCGCCCCGAGGGCAAUAUUCUGCGAGUAGAAGCUCCUUCAUAGCUUCCCAACCCAUAGCAUUCGCUACAGGUAAAGUUAAAGAUUUGACUCGGCCGUUCGACCAAGUCAAGGUUUUGUCUAGGAAGGUGCAGGCGGCAAACUUUACUUUAUCAGACUCCGAACAGGCGCAUAUUUCAAAGAUUGAUUCGAUUUUCUCGAACCAUCGGGUGAGGGAAAUGACACCUCUAGUGUCAUCGAAGAAUGUCGGUUUUGCGUUCAUGAAGUCUUUAUAGGAACCCCCUUUUUGGUGUCCCUGGCUAUCAUCUGGGUUUUGGGUUCCACCCCUUGAACCACUAGAGUUCAGUUGAGGUAGGAGAGCUGAUAUGGUGGCAGAAAUGGUUGCCUGAAGUGUUUCCAAAUCGAUUUGAAUAGGAGGUGGUGGCGGAGGAGGAUUUCUGUUGUUCUUUGAGCUGGGUCCCUUUCUGGGAGGCAUAUUGAUCUAAAAAGAUCAGGAAAGAGAGGAUCAUAAGUCCUCUGAAUUGAAUCAAGAGAUAAGGAAUAGGGGAUAUCUCAUCAAGACAAAUAUAACAUCAUACUAAGCGAUAAAGCAGAAAGGAGUUAUCAAGACAGAACAUUUUAUCGCUAGAGGAAUGAUCAAGGAAUAACGCGUAUACGAGGAUUUCUACAAAGGAUCGGCUCGAGAAAUACUCCCAUAGUAUUUCAUGGUUCGCUGCAGCGACGAUUCGUUGUUUGGGAUAUUGGGUAAGUUUUAGGCAUGCUGCGUACCACAGUCACUCCCAAGCACAUGUUGGCCGUGUCUCGAAUGAAUAUAGUUGGCCAGGCUAUAUUGAUCCUAGACACGACUACAUAACUGCCCAGGUUUAACUGCAGUGUACAACACCCAUUUACUUAUGUUUUGUUCUACUUGUAGUUACGGAUCUCGACGGUUCGGUAUACUUGUAUACUUUUGAAAAUACUUAUAGUUUGAAGAUACUUUUAAUUCAGAGCACUGAGGACCUUUAGUGUCUAUAGUUUUAUACCAUGUAAGGUUUGGUAUACUCUGUUCACUAUAAACAAGGGCUCUGAUACCAAUCUGUGACACCCCGAAAAUCAAAGGCGGAAACAUUUCCGAGGUUGACUCCAAGUUGUGUAUCAAAUCCAUUGUACAUAGUAAUCACAGUAAACAACCAUUACAUUACAUAUAUAUGAAAGUUUACAUUUGGUUCAAAAGUAAAUUGUACAAAAGUUAUACAUAUAUCAUAUGAACAAAACGAGACGAGUCUUCCACGCACUCCGUCUUCACCAAAAGAGAUCACCGGGUACCUGUCUAAUUUGGACCUGAGAAUACAAGCAGUUUGAAAAUCAGCAUAAAGCUGGUGAGUUCAUAAGCGGUUUUGUUUUAUGAAAAUGUAUCGGUUUCCUUUAGUUUUCCGAAAAGGUUUGUUAUCCAAGAAAAUCCCAUAUUUUCUUAUGUUUAACAGUUUAGUUAUCUGUCAU